RNAcentral lists this transfer RNA (25 nucleotides) under Solidago decurrens. RNAcentral's name for it is "tRNA-Tyr". Lineage: Eukaryota; Viridiplantae; Streptophyta; Magnoliopsida; Asterales; Asteraceae. The record is from RNAcentral.
CUCGGUUCAGAUCCGAUAGGGGACU